Molecule: ribosomal RNA, 496 nt
Filed under: uncultured bacterium
Lineage: Bacteria
Description: partial 16S ribosomal RNA
Rfam family: Bacterial small subunit ribosomal RNA
Source: RNAcentral
GAUGAACGCUGGCGGCGUGCCUAAUACAUGCAAGUCGAGAGAACGGACGAGAAGCUUGCUUUUCUGAUGUUAGCGGCGGACGGGUGAGUAACACGUGGAUAACCUACCUAUAAGACUGGGAUAACUUCGGGAAACCGGAGCUAAUACCGGAUAAUAUUUUGAACCGCAUGGUUCAAAAGUGAAAGACGGUCUUGCUGUCACUUAUAGAUGGAUCCGCGCUGCAUUAGCUAGUUGGUAAGGUAACGGCUUACCAAGGCAACGAUGCAUAGCCGACCUGAGAGGGUGAUCGGCCACACUGGAACUGAGACACGGUCCAGACUCCUACGGGAGGCAGCAGUAGGGAAUCUUCCGCAAUGGGCGAAAGCCUGACGGAGCAACGCCGCGUGAGUGAUGAAGGUCUUCGGAUCGUAAAACUCUGUUAUUAGGGAAGAACAUAUGUGUAAGUAACUGUGCACAUCUUGACGGUACCUAAUCAGAAAGCCACGGCUAACUACGU